CUACGGGAGGCACCAGUGAGGAAUAUUGCGCAAUGGACGAAAGUCUGACGCAGCCAUGCCGCGUGCAGGAUGACGGCGCUAUGCGUUGUAAACUGCUUUUAUAGGCCAAGAAACCUUCGGACGUGUCCGAAGCUGACGGUAGCAUAUGAAUAAGCACCGGCUAACUCCGUGCCAGCAGCCGCGGGAAUACGGAGGGUGCAAGCGUUAUCCGGAUUUAUUGGGUUUAAAGGGUCCGUAGGCGGAUCAUUAAGUCAGUGGUGAAAGCCGGCAGCUCAACUGUCGAAAUGCCAUUGAUACUGGUGAUCUUGAAUACGGUUGAAGUUGGCGGAAUAGGUCAUGUAGCGGUGAAAUGCUUAGAUAUGACCUAGAACACCGAUUGCGAAGGCAGCCAACUAAGCCGUUAUUGACGCUGAGGGACGAAAGCGUGGGGAGCGAACAGGAUUAGAUACCCUAGUAGUC
RNAcentral lists this ribosomal RNA (459 nucleotides) under uncultured bacterium. RNAcentral describes it as "partial 16S ribosomal RNA". It matches the Rfam family "Bacterial small subunit ribosomal RNA", at positions 339 to 795 of the family's 1533-position model. The record is from RNAcentral.